Molecule: long non-coding RNA, 673 nt
Organism: Cydia splendana
Lineage: Eukaryota; Metazoa; Arthropoda; Insecta; Lepidoptera; Tortricidae
Exons: 3
Source: RefSeq, a predicted model, not a curated record
AUCGAGCCGCUUGUAUAUAGGUUCAUGUGCCGCAUCUUGCUCGCACCUGCUUUAUAUUGUCAAAAUGAGAUACGUUGGUGGAUUGACGCAGAGCGCGGGCUGCAUGCAGCUCUCCGCGUCCGAUUGCUCGGUUUCCCGUUGAAGCUGCUCGUUAUGGAGCGAAACAUGUCGAGCAAUUUUCGACUUAAAAAUACGUAUCGCUGGGGCGAUGCGGUUGAAGCGGACUUGCGCGAUCUCCAUGCCGAUAACUGGCGGGAGAUGGCACAGGAUCGAGACAACUGGCGUGUACUCGCCUGCGCCAUUAAUUUCAGUUUCAAGUUUGAUACAAGAUUGUCGUCUGCCUUAAGCCAGCCGGUAAAGCCCCAGGCCCCAGUUUAUACUCCACAUACGUAAACAAUAACGAAGCUUAAUAUUUAACCCACAAGCGUCGAGAGCUGCACUUGCUUCCACAAAUUGCUUCAAAGAGCUUACACGUUGGGCGUAACCAACCACACAUUUACAUGAAAAUAACCGGAACUUACCGGAAAAUACUGGUAACAUUGGCUUUUUCGGAAACAGCGAGUAUUCAGAAGAUGGUAUAAAAAUAAAAAGCGACAUAAGACGUGGAAUGUCGUUGGUAUGCGGCAGGAAUGUUUUGGACUGAAAUAAAUGUCUCGGAACACCGCAAUUUAAA